AGUGAACGCUGGCGGUAGGCCUAACACAUGCAAGUCGAACGGCAGCACAGUAAGAGCUUGCUCUUACGGGUGGCGAGUGGCGGACGGGUGAGGAAUACAUCGGAAUCUACUUUUUCGUGGGGGAUAACGUAGGGAAACUUACGCUAAUACCGCAUACGACCUACGGGUGAAAGCAGUGGAUCUUCGCACCUUGCGCGAUUGAAUGAGCCGAUGUCGGAUUAGCUAGUUGGCGGGGCAAAGGCCCACCAGGGCGACGAUCCGUAGCUGGUCUGAGAGGAUGAUCAGCCACACUGGAACUGAGACACGGUCCAGACUCCUACGGGAGGCAGCAGUGGGGAAUAUUGGACAAUGGGCGCAAGCCUGAUCCAGCCAUACCGCGUGGGUGAAGAAGGCCUUCGGGUUGUAAAGCCCUUUUGUUGGGAAAGAAAAGCAGCAGGUUAAUACCCCGCUGUUCUGACGGUACCCAAAGAAUAAGCACCGGCUAACUUCGUG
Molecule: ribosomal RNA, 492 nt
Filed under: uncultured bacterium
Lineage: Bacteria
Description: partial 16S ribosomal RNA
Rfam family: Bacterial small subunit ribosomal RNA
Source: RNAcentral